Cryptomeria japonica (Japanese cedar) is the source of this 893-nucleotide long non-coding RNA. RefSeq lists it as uncharacterized. The transcript has 4 exons. The record is from RefSeq and is a predicted model, not a curated record. NCBI's taxonomy places the organism in Eukaryota, Viridiplantae, Streptophyta, Pinopsida, Cupressales, Cupressaceae.
UAAUACGACGAUUUAUACCGGUAUUCGUAGAUAUUUGAUGCUAAAUUCGCCAAACUAUUGCCAAAUUUGCAACCUGCAACUCGUUUCACCUUCCUUUCACGCGAUUUUUGGUCGUUUCUUGAUCAGGUGUAAUAUGCUCAUUUUGGUGGAGAAAUGAUUUUAUAGUUGAAGUUGCCCCUCCUAGGAAGUAGAGCCCAUCUUCACUUUGGCACAUGGGAGUUAGAGGUGGUGGUUUCCGCUUAUUUGAGACCUGUAGCCUCUUGGUAUGAGCAUUUUGAAGGUGAUCUGAAGGCGUAUCAGACCAAAGACAUCAAGAAGACUUACUUUCCUGAAGGGCACCAUUUUUAGUGAAGAAUGUUAAGGAAAGGAGCCAGUUCGUGGGGUUAUAUCAAGCUCAGAUCAGAUUAUAUGAUGCCCUUGGACAUCACAUUUCCCUCUAUUCUUCAGAUGAAGGGUUGCUGGGUCAAAUCAUGGGCAAUGUUGAAGUCACUGUGAUGAAAAACACACUCUCUUUUGGAACACAGUGGUAAAGGAAUAGGGGUUGGGUUGCAGAUUGCGCAUUUUCUUGGUCACCUACCAUUGUAUUCUCAGACAUACCACCUGGCCAAACAGAAGGAAAGACUUCUUCCUAUAGCCACCACAUCUAUUUGCUUCAUACUGAACUUUCAUUAAGCUAUGUGUGGCUCUUCAUCAAAGCCAUGGGGUUAAUUGGAACUUCAAAUCAAUUUCUGUUGUCAAAGAAAUCCAUUCUAUUUCUAAACAAGGUGUUUACUGAAGGUCAGAUAUAUCUCUUCUCAUGAUACUACAUCAAUACAUCUUCAAUUUACUUUACAUUUCAAAGACUACAGGGUAAAUUUUAUGUGUUGCGUUGUCAAUCUCAUCUGAUAAAUAUA